AUGACUCAACCAAAGUUCAUGGGCGGUAUGGGAUUCCGUGACAUCGAGCUCUUCAAUUUGGCGCUACUUCCUCGCCAAGCAUGGCGCUUACUUCAGGACCCUACGUCCUUGAGUGUCCGGAUUCUCAAGGCUGUUUACUACCCCACAUGCUCCAUCUUACAGGCGGAAUUGGGAAAUUACCCCUCUCAGGUAUGGCGAUCAAUUUUGGAAGGCAGAGAUACUCUCAAGCUUGGUCUUAUUAAAAGGAUUGGUAUGGGGGAGAACACUAACAUAUGGCUUGAUAAUUGGAUACCUCGUGAUUACCUAUUGAAACCUAUCUGCUCAAAGUCAGCGAACCCACCUCGUUUGGUUUCAGAACUUGUUGAUCACAGCUCGGCAUCCUGGAAUCAAGCCAAGUUAGAUGAGCACUUCAUUGACAUGGAUAAGGAGGCCAUUCUUAAUAUUCCUCUAAGUAUGCGGGUGCAAGAGGACUUCUGGUCAUGGCAUUAUGAGAAGAAGGGCAUUUUUUUAGUUCGAUCAGCUUAUAGAUUGCUGUCUGGGACAAAGAAAUAUCGAACCGACUGGCUGGAACAUAAACCGGGCCAGUCUAAUUUGGAGGCAGAAAGGAAAUCUUGGAAGAAGCUUUGGGGUAUGAAAGUGCCAUCUAAGAUCCGUGUGUUUGCAUGGCGGCUUGCUCAAACUUCGCCACCUACUGGUGAUGUCCGUAAUCACAGGACGAUGGCUGAUACGCCGGCAUGUGGGAUUUGUCAUGCGGUCCAAGACUCAUGGCGUCACUCAUUAUUUGAAUGUCGCAUGGCAAAAUGUGUGUGGGCACUCAUGGAGGAGGAGCUGACCGACGUUGUUAUCUUGAACCGCUCGGAAAAUGCUAAGGUAUGGCUGUUUUGGUUGUUCGACACGCUGCCACCGGCAGAGCUUACUCGUGUCCUCAUUACAAUGUGGGCAAUCUGGUGGGCACGGAGACGCGCCAUACACGACGAACAAUUCUAA
This 987-nucleotide ribosomal RNA is filed under the name Triticum aestivum (bread wheat). RNAcentral's name for it is "partial small subunit ribosomal RNA". Lineage: Eukaryota; Viridiplantae; Streptophyta; Magnoliopsida; Poales; Poaceae. The record is from RNAcentral.